RNAcentral lists this ribosomal RNA (444 nucleotides) under uncultured Thiobacillus sp. Its description in RNAcentral is "bacterial SSU rRNA". It matches the Rfam family "Bacterial small subunit ribosomal RNA", at positions 933 to 1382 of the family's 1533-position model. Lineage: Bacteria; Pseudomonadati; Pseudomonadota; Betaproteobacteria; Nitrosomonadales; Thiobacillaceae. The record is from RNAcentral.
UGGAUGAUGUGGAUUAAUUCGAUGCAACGCGAAAACCUUACCUACCCUUGACAUGUCCGGAAUCCUGCAGAGAUGCGGGAGUGCCGAAAGGGAAUCGGAACACAGGUGCUGCAUGGCUGUCGUCAGCUCGUGUCGUGAGAUGUUGGGUUAAGUCCCGCAACGAGCCGCAACCCUUAUCAUUAGUUGCUACGCAAGGGCACUCUAAUGAGACUGCCGGUGACAAACCGGAGGAAGGUGGGGAUGACGUCAAGUCCUCAUGGCCCUUAUGGGUAGGGCUUCACACGUCAUACAAUGGUCGGUACAGAGGGUUGCCAAGCCGCGAGGUGGAGCCAAUCCCAGAAAGCCGAUCGUAGUCCGGAUUGUUCUCUGCAACUCGAGAGCAUGAAGUCGGAAUCGCUAGUAAUCGCGGAUCAGCAUGUCGCGGUGAAUACGUUCCCGGGUCUU